This 340-nucleotide ribosomal RNA is filed under the name Austrogoniodes mawsoni. Its description in RNAcentral is "partial small subunit ribosomal RNA". Lineage: Eukaryota; Metazoa; Arthropoda; Insecta; Psocodea; Philopteridae. The record is from RNAcentral.
UGGCGAUUUUCUACACCCUGUCAGAGAGAUGUGUAUUUAAACGAAAUUGCACGAAUAUCUUACCUUAUUUUGGUUAUCGGGGAUAACUUGAGCUAGUCUCAAGGUUCAAAUCGGCCGACCAUCCUGUACACCUCCGUCGGAAGGUGUUUUUUUAAAAAAUUUCCCUUUAUCUUACCACAGAAAUAAGUCAGGUCAAGGUGCAGAUAAUAAUAAGGCCUAUAUGCAUUAAUCAUUAAUAGUUUUUGUUCAAAAUUUAAAAAUUUAGAACAAUAAAUUUGAAAGUAAGAAAAUUUCAAAAUAAUUUUCUGAAGAAGGCAAUAGUGAACGCACACAUCGCCCG